CGCCGAAAUACUAUGGUGCCGCCCAGAUGGAGCCAUUAUAGACNNNNNNNNNNNNNNNNNNNNNNNNNUAUGGGAUCAUUAUGGGGUUAUUAUGGGAUUAUUAUGGGGUUAUUAUGGGGUUAUUAUGGGGUUAUUAUGGGAUGGCUAUAGGAUCACUAUGGGGUUAUUAUGGGGUUAUUAUGGGGUUAUUAUGGGGUUAUUAUGGGAUGUCCCCCCCCCCCAGAUCGCUCCCCAGACCUGGACAACUUCUCGGAGGAGGAGGAGGAGAGUUUCUCCUCGGAGCAGGACGGCAGCGACGACGCCAUUCAGGGGCAGGUGGGCCCCCCCCCCAUAGGAUCUCUUUGAUGAAGAGGAGGAGCUGCCCAAGAGGAAGAAGACGCAGCGGAAGCUGCUGGCGGCCGCAGGGAGGGCGCUGUGCAUGGAGCGCGUCUCGCGGAUGCGGGCGGUGGAGGACCUGGACCUGGCCGAGGACCUGGACGAGCUGUGCGCGUCCCUCGGUCUGUCCAACCCCAGCGACAGCGGCGCCGACAUCGACGACACCGACAGUGUCAUCAGCACCCCGAAACCCAGACUCAGGUCACAAUGAGGAGCCCAUAGAGCCCAUAGAGCCCAUAGAGCCCAUAGAGCCCAUAUAUCCCCCAUAGAGCCCAUAGACCCCAUAGAGCCCAUAGACCCCAUAGAGCCCAUAGACCCCAUAGAGCCCAUAGAGCCCAUAGACCCCAAUGGACCCCAUAGAGCCCAUAGACCCCAUAGAGCCCAUAGAGCCCAUAUCCCCCCCAUAGAGCCCAUAGAGCCCAUAGAGCCCAUAGAGCCCCCAUAGAGCCCAUAGAGCCCAUAGACCCCAUAUACCCCAUAGAGCCCAUAUCCCCCCCAUAGAGCCCAUAGACCCCAUAGAGCCCAUAUAUCCCCCAUG
Molecule: long non-coding RNA, 913 nt
Filed under: Coturnix japonica (Japanese quail)
Lineage: Eukaryota; Metazoa; Chordata; Aves; Galliformes; Phasianidae
Description: lncRNA (ENSCJPG00005000948.1)
Source: RNAcentral